UGGGUCGAAGAGGUGGAGCGCUUCACAAAGGAGCAAGAGGAGACCCUUCAGCUCCUCACCUCCCUCGAGAGCAUCGAAUUUUGGCAGUGCGACAAGCUGCAGUGCCUCCCUGCAGGGCUGCAUAGACUUCCGAACCUCAAGAGCUUAGACAUCCACACUUGUAAAGCCAUCUGCUCGCUGCCCAAGGAUGGCCUGCCAGGUUCCCUGCUAGAGUUGGUGAUAGACUAUUGUCCAGGCAUCCGGUCGAUACACAAGGAGUGCCUCCCAAAUUCACUGCAAAAACUAGUGAUCAGAGGCUGCCCAGGCAUCCGGUCUCUUCCAAAGGUGGAAUACCUUCCAAGUUCGCUGCGAGAAUUGGAUGUCGGUGAUAACAGCGAGGAACUAAGAAGGCAUUGCCGCAAGUUGAUAGGAACCAUUCCAAUAGUCAGAGCCUGAUUUACCCAAGGUAACAAAGAGGUGGAACUUCCUACCCACCAAUUUCCCUUGCUUUUCCUAACCCUAUAAGCAUCAGUUAUUCUCUUUUUGUUUAAUUUGACUACAGUUAUGGUUUCCUUCCGAGUAACCCACUUGUUUUCACCUACUGUGCAGGGAUAUUGUUGGAAUUGGUACAUUCUUCUGACCUCCGAAUUCUCACUGUAUUUAUAUGAAUACACGAUUCGAGUUGCCAAGUACGAACAUCUCAGAUGUGCCUAACGAAGUGCACAUAAAACUGGUUAGUGUCCUGUAUGCAAAAAUCACCCCCAGGGCCAUGUAAUAUUUACAAGUUUGAUGCACAUCUUGUAAUCUGCUGCCUGUUGUUUUUGUUAUUUGGACGCAUUUUCAUUCCUAAUCAUGAAGUAGUUCGAAACCUUCUGUAUGAGAGUUUGAUUAUAAACUAUUAAUCAAGAAAUUUCUCACUCACAUAAUAACACUAAAGUGUGAGUUUAGUAGUUUCAGUUGCCUCACAACUUGCAAAACAUGCUUCAACUACUUUCAAGUUGCCUUAGUACACUGCUAAAGAAACAAGCUGAUAUUCUCAUUUCUUUGCUCAAUGCUAGACUGAUUCGUUGUUCCAACGUGUCUUUCCCUUCUGCUGCACGACAAUUCUCAGAUAGCAUAACUAAUGGAGUGUAAUGAACCUUAUGUUCCUAUAUAUCAAUCAGUAUCUGCAGCAUUCCUAUUUUGAUUGCGUAGAGACAGGAGCUAAUAUCGAGUACUUUCAUACUACUAUUUAUUUUUGUAGAUCAUCUCCAUGGGAGCCUAUUAACUAGGAUAACAAAAUGGUGCUGAGAUCAUAUUGGUUUAGGUCAAGGUAAUUUAUCUUGUCUCAUGAAAAUCAAGUCAAUUUUUACCUACACCAUGUUCCAGACCACAAGUGCUUUUGACAUGAACACUGCUUAUUUUAAUCUACAGGACACAAGGGAACAUCAAGUCAUUGGGUUGUACAUCCUUGUACUCUUGUUAAAUCUUUCUGAAAACAAAGAGUUGCUCAAAAGGGCGUUGAGGUGUGGCUUCCUGCUGUUAGAAAUCCCUUCCCCAAAGGUAAUUAUAAUACAUUUGCUAUUUUCUUAAUCCUUUUCUUGAGAAAAAAAUGAUGUUGGAAUCAUUUGCAACUUUGGACGUAGAAUUUGGAUUGCUGAAUGCCUACCUUUAAUACUUUGGCAAUGGUGCAACAGAAAAAAGGUAUUUAUUUUGAAGGCCUCAUGUAAACUAUCGUUCAUUACAUGCAACUUCGUAUGUUCCAGGUGCCCAAGCAUGACAUAACUCUUGUAGUAUAGGUCAUAUUGUUUCCUGAGCCUCCUACUGUCAACUGAUCCUAAUGUCUUGAUCUAUUGCCUACAGCCCUAUGCAUGCAAGUUUCUGGCACUGCAGUAGUCAACACGAAAUUACUACUAUGUUCGCUGGAGCAACUUCACAAGUUCAGAUGUUCCAACUUCCAAGUGUUUCCUGCAUCUCCUCAACGACUUGCCUGCAUCGUCUGUACUCUGUAGUCUGCAGUUCUGCACACUUAAGCCCUACUCGUUCCACGAUUAACCUUGUGAUUGGCCGGCCUAGCCAUUUUUUCAAGUUGUGCCAUCUUGAGCAGCUAUCGACCAAAUAGUUCUUCACAUAGCACUCGAAAUUAAUCUGAGUUGCAGGUGUAUCUGCUGCUGCUCGAGCUUGUAGAAACUGGCCGUGGUUUGCAUAUGAGGUGAGUGUUACACUUUGCUCAGGCCCGUUUCAGAUGGCUGUAGACUGUAUUACAUUUGUAAAUACUAGUAUUACUUUUCCCUGGAGGAAUAUUGAUCGAGAGUUCACUAUUUUGUCAUUACUGUUGGCAACAGGGAUCUUGCAAAGAGCACAAUCUUUGACAAGAUCGAUAUCACUUUGCUCAUGAAGCUGGUACGUUGGACAAUGAUUCUUGCAUCAGCCAAGUUGUUGCGAUAAUUGCAAGACCAAGUUUAAGCAUCCAGAGACAACAGUGUGACACUAGUUCAGGCCUUCAGGGUGUCCUCAAAACUCGCUCAGGGCAUGCUCUGGAAGCAAGGCAAGUGUUCAGGUUCAGUGGUCUAAUGCAAUUUUGAGAUAAAAUUGAAUGUUUUUAGGUUUCCUCACGUCCCAAUUCCUGAGUAGACAUCAGAAAACUACGACUUGCACUGUACUUGGAGAGUAGUGUGUUUUCCCAUGACAAUAUAGCUUUGGGAAACUCUCGAUUAUUCAUGCAAUUUCCUGCAACUAAAUGCUGUCCUUUCCUUGGCUACAAAUUAAUUAUAUUCUGGGAAUGGUUUUUGAUAUGCAGGACUACCGUUCAUCCUGUAGCGUGUUGUUGGCCUCGGCCGAAGUGUAAUUUCUGAAACAUCAUAUAGAGUCAGAACGGCACAACGCAGGCUGCUGUUGAAUACUUAAGAGAAUACAGGCUGGAGUGGUAGUUAAGUGAUCAUAUUACAUAUAGGGUCAGUUGUCGGCUUGUGGCAGAACACAACCAAUUCAGAGAAUACAGGGCCAGUUUUAUUUUUACUCCUAAAGUUUAAACCUGCGUACGUAGAGAACGAAGCAGGAGGAUACAUGUACUGCUUGGAAUACUGUACUGUACGCAGGCAGCGGGCGCCUCGUAGGCUGCUGCUUCGUCAUCAGGAUUGGGCAACGAGGGCACGCUGCAGCUCAUCGGCCAUGAUUCCCGUAUGUCCCCGGCUGGCUGAUCAUUCGUCGCCGAGCUCAUCUCCGCGGCGGUUGACUCUCCGCCAUUUCCAUUCCAUGCAGACUCUUGAUGCUUGCAGAAACCGCAACGCGCAACAGCAGGCUAGGCUACUAGCUUAGCUAGUGAAAUUGGAUCAGAACACGAACCACGAAGCCUCUCCGGUAAUCGCAGCUUCGCACACCAUCGUCGCGUAGUCAAGAAAAACAACUUCGUCCUCCGAUCCUGUCUGCAGGCAACAGCAAUGCCAUCAGUCGAUUAAUUUCCUGUACGUUCCUGCAUCCGGCCGGCAACUUGUUCAUUGUUGGCCUGCCCGUUCCCGUGUUGCAUUGCUUGGCGUUUCGUUCGGGUAGAGUAGGCACCGGAUGGAGGCAGCAUCGAUUCGGUUCACAGGCCAACUUCAUUCGUCGAUCGAAUUCUGAUCGUACGUUUCUCUCGUCAUUGGUUUUCGUCCUCUGGCAGCAGCAUUUUCAUCAGUUGUGCUCAAGGCGCUGGCUUCCGGCGAUGCAAAAGUUGCCAAAGCUGUUGUCAGAGACUUGCUUGGUUGCCCGCAUAUAUGCUGCUCGUGCUGCUGCUACGUACUCUCCUGGUGGCGUCAGACGCAAUUACGCAACCGCGCAAGGCACAUGGAGACGUCUCCUCGCUGCCACAACCGAUCAAAACUGAUGGACAAGUCAACGGCUGCAUGUUUUGCAAGUCAAAUAUAUUCAGUAACAAAAUGUGCAAGCAUUGCUGAUGUUAAUCACCACAUGACUAGGCAUUUGUUUAUUGAAUCCAAAAAAUCAUAUCUACUUCCCGAAACAGACGAUCCCAGCCGUAGGCUCUCUAGGCAAGCUGUCAGGCAGAUCCCCGAUCCCUCCUUUUAUCCGAUGGUCGGUGGAGUCACCCGACCAACUCCAGUGGAUCUGAUCCGCGCUCCCCCUCCAUUUUUCAUACCAAUCACGCGUGCCCUCUCUCUCCUCCACUAUGUGUUUCAGUUUAUCUAGCUUUCCCCCACAGUUGCUACUUUUUUCUUUAAAAGAAGUGAAGGGACUAAGCUGAAGGCUGUUUUUUUUUCUGUUUUCAUUCGCAGCACUUGUUUCAAGACAGUUUGUUGACAUGUCUCGCAUAAGAAUUGAAGGAUUACUCGCUGCAUUCCCGAAACUGGUUGGGACUGGGAAGCAGCACACUUAUGUUGAAACUGAAAAUGUGCGUUAUGUUUAUCAACCUAUUGAAGGUUUAUAUCUUCUACUUAUCACAAACAAGUAGAGCAACAUUCUUGAAGAUAUGGACACUUUGAGGCUGCUCUCCAAGCUCGUAUCCUACUUUUGCAUAUAUUAAUCUUCUGAUUCUUUGGAAAUUACCUUAUCUGUAUGAUCCUAUUUAAUAUGAAUUAAAGUAGAAACUUGGUUUUUUGGGGUGGGUGGGGGUGUUAACUUCAAGAACAUGGGCUUAAGAUGACCAUACUGGCCUAUCUGGAUUUUACAGAUUUUACAUAUUACUGAGGGGGAAAACUUAAAAUACAACAUGCACUAUAGGUACUUGAAAGUAUCUAUGCAAAAUCUUAACCAAUAUGAAUCUCAUUUUUAGAGCUGUGUAUAUAUUAACUUCAUGCUACUAUCCAGUGGUAUGUUCUUUCACAGUAAUAUUUCUAUACUACCGUCUCCUUAACUUGGAAACCGCCUGAAUACUCCCCUUCCUUGGAUGAGGAAGGUGUCUGUAAAACAGCAUUUGAGCUUAUUUUUGCUUUCGACAAAGGCAUCUCUCUUGAAAAUAAGGAAAAUGUAACAGUUCAACAAGUCAAACAAUAUUGUGAGAUGGAGAGCCAUGAAGAAAAGGCACACAAGCUGAUGAUGCAAGCCAAAAUCAAUGAAACGAAGGAUGUCAUGAAGAAGAAGGCUAAUGAGCUUGACAAAAUGAGGGUCUGCACUACUCUUUUCACCAGACUUAAAAUACGCUGUAAUUCAUUUAAGUCGUUAUGGGUCAUGUGGGUAUUUUCUGUCAAUCAGCCUUAUUGAACUCUUUCAUUUUGCAUCAAUUUGUGUAAUGUCGCUAGUUAAGUUAAAGCAUCCAUUUAGAGCAUAUUUUGGUAACUCCAGUUUCUCAUGAAUUAACUUGUUGGGAUGGCAUCUGUGAGAUAUAAGCAUACAUAAAGAUGCACUGCUGAAUCCUUUAUGGAAAAAAAUGUAGGAUAGGAUUUAUGGAUUGAAAAUUUCAUGAAAGGAGAGUGGAACCCAAAUUGUUUAGAGGAAAAUUUAGUUGGGUUCCAUUACUGAGAUGUUAAAUUGUAUUAUCAUGUCAAGCUAUUUUGAGUAUGCAUCUUAGUAGUUAGUAUUGUACUGCAAUGAUAUUUUUGGGUAUUAUUUUUUAAUGCCUAAGGGGUUAUAUUUUGUGGGUGGUGUUAAUAGCAGAUGGAAAGAGGUAAACUUGAUAAAGGCGGAUACUCAUCAAUAUCUGGUCCACGUGUGAUUGAAAAAGCUUUCAAUGAUAUGAGCAUCAGUGGUUCUCGAUUUGGUAGCGGUUCUGGAUUAGGUGGGCUGAGCACUGACAUGGACUCAUUUGCUAGCAAGCCCAAAGGUAAAUCCUUUCUUUCUCUUGGAUUUCUCGAUCAAAUUUUAUUUUAGAAAAGACAAACUUAUUGCAUCAAUUUAUGUCGAUGACUUAAACAUUUUCUCCCUUUUUGCAUGCGCAUCUAGUUCUGUUUCGAUCUCCACAUAGCUAGGAAAUAUAUGACAUAUAUUACACCCUUUUUUCUUUUCAUUAUGACCCCUGUAUUUACAUUCUCUCCGCAAGUUCUCAUCAUAUCAAUGGAGUAUGGAUACUCCUAGCUUGUUAGGCUUAUCAAUCCCUUAAAAUUUGCUAUUCAUACUAUAUUUUACAAAAAGUUGAAGAUGAGUUAAUAGCAAUAUUGUUCGAAAUGAAGAAGCUUACCUAUCACUUUACUUUGUCUCACUUUCAUGAUACAUUUAUAAUAUUUUUGAGUUAAUACUAUAUACUUUAAACAUAUAGCGUGUUGGGAUCAUCCUGUAGUUAAGUCUAUUCUGAUCUUUCUGACUCAGUAUUAGGGAAACAGGACUACAUUACCUGAUUUCUAGCCAAAAUGCUAGAGACAAUACAGGGCUAGCAUAUGACCUAUAUUUGAUUCUAACUGCAAGCGUUGUUUCGACAGGUCGUCCAUCUACAGCUGCUACUGCACCCGGUAAAGGUCUUGGUAUUAAAUUGGGCAAGACACAGAAGACAAAUCAAUUCCUCGAAUCAUUGAAAGCUGAAGGAGAAGUCAUUUUGGAGGAUGUACAACCAAGUGCAGUUCCUUCAAGAUCGUCUGCUCUUCCACCAAGUGAUCCUGUCACAGUGACUAUAGAGGAGAAGCUCGAUGUUGUUGUUAAAAGAGAUGGAUGUAUCAAUAACUUUGAUGUUCAAGGAAGCCUUGCUCUUCAGGUUCUCAAUGAUGCUGAUGGAUUCAUCCAAUUGCAGGUAAUCUUUUUUAAAAAACAUACUUGUGUGUGUAUGGAUGGAAAGCUGUAACCUAUGUAAGGCGAUACGGUGAUUUCCGAAAAACACAGAUACGCCGAUACAUCAAAAACAUAUAUAUAAUACAUAUUUAAAUAUGAUUAGAAAAAUAAAGAAAGAGAAAAAACAGAGAAAAAGAUGAGAUGGGCUUCUAUGUACUAGCUGCCGGCCCACUCAGCCCACCUAAGAACAUUACUUACCCUAAUCAUCUCUCCCCACGCACACAAGUUGCCGCCGCCGCCGUUACUCUUUUCUUCUUCCUCGCCUCGCCGUGUCUCUUCCUCCCAAGUCCCAACGCAGCUCCACCAUCUCCAGUUAGUGUUUCACACUGCCGAAUAGCAAAAUGGAUAGCCCUUGACUCCUCCUCUCCGGUACUCUCAGAUCUUGUGCUCUUCUCAUAUCACAUCCAUCUCUCUAGGCCCUCUCCACUUCUGCAUCUCUCUACUGCUACCCAGGGACAGGAAGAAGUAUCGGAGGAAAGUAUCGGCUAGUAUCGGAGACGUAUCGCUAAUUAAAUUAUUUGUUUUUCCAUCAUAAUUUCUCGAUACACGUAUCAGACCGUAUCGGGCCAUAUCGCGAUGUAUCGCCGUAUCCUGCCGUAUCCGAUACCGGUACGGCGACCUGUUGGACGUAUCGGUGAUACGUAAGCUGUAAUUAUGAAAUAGUAUAUAGCUUUAUAUUUGCCUUGUCAUGUGAACCUAUAUUGACAUUGUAUCAUAUUCAUUGUUCUGGUCGCCUUUCAUUUAUCCUUCUUGUGCUGUUUUUUUUCUAUUAUUGCCAACAAGCAGCGUUAUUGCACACAGCAGCGUAUAAUCAUAUGAAUCAGCUUAUCAGUUGAUUUUUCUAACAUAUGGUGUGUUGUAGAUUGAAAGCCAAGAUAUUCCUGGACUAAGCUUCAAAACACACCCCAAUAUCAACAAGGAGUUGUUUAACAGUCAGCAAAUUUUGGGAGCAAAAGAUCCAAACAGGCCCAUCCCGAGUGGUCAAGACGAAACUCCUCUGGUGAAAUGGAGAAUCCAGGGGAUGGACGAAUCAUCUUUACCUCUGUCAGGUGCAACAUAACUUUGUUUUUUAUCUGUCUAAUAAUUUGGAAAUUUGGACUUGCAUUAACAUGCUUUUGCUCGAUGUAGUCAAUUGCUGGCCGUCGGUGUCUGGAAAUGAAACGUAUGUCAACAUUGAAUAUGAAGCUUCUGAGAUGUUUCAUCUUCACAAUGUUGUCAUGUCUAUACCACUGCCAGCACUUCGGGAGGCUCCAAAUGUUAAUCAGAUAGAUGGAGAGUGGAAGUAAUGUUUCCUUUUCCUCUUCAGUUUAUUUAUAUGUUAUUUACUAAAGUAUGUCGCAUAUAUUAUUGUGACAGUGCAUUACCAUAUGCCACUUGGUUUUGGUCUUUAUGUGAGGCCUUUUAUUAUUAAUCUUUAACAGACCAAAUGUGAUAACCUCUAGUGUUUUGCUGUUAUAACUGGCAUAUCAAGCUGUUACAGUGGACUUGUCUAUAUGCAGCUCAGCUUUUGUAUCCUAGAUGGUAGUGCUUUAUAUAGGUCUGAAAAAAACUGUGGUGUUUACUGCUUUAUUCCGUUUCCUUGUGGCAUUUCGUGAUGCACCUUUCUUUGAUUUUAUUGAACUGAGCUUGUGUUUGUUGUCUCAGCUUUUUUUUAUUGUUUCACUUUUCCUUGUGCAAACAGGUUUGACUCAAGAAUUUCUGUGUUGGAAUGGUCUAUUCUCCUUAUUGAUCAGUUCUUGUGUCUUAACUAUUGCUUUAUGUGCCCUUUGCAGUGGUUCCAUGGAAUUUGUUGUCCCCCCAGCUGAUCCAUCAUCAUUCUUCCCCAUCUCUGUUGGGUUUUCUGCAUCCGGUACUUUCAGUGAUUUGAAGGUUGGUUCCCGCACGCUGCUCGAAUGAGCCCUCCUAUGUUUGGUGUCUCCCUAUUCAUCCUUGUCAAUUGUGUUUAUCUGAAACUUUUCAGGUUACUGGAAUCCAUCCUCUGAAGGAAGGCAACGCUCCGAAGUUUUCACAGCGGGCUCGUUUGCUCACUGCUAAGAGCAACUCCAAGAGUAUGUAAUUUUUUUUUCCCAAAAUGAGGUAUUGGGGCUAUGCUAAAAAAUUCCUCCCAAAAACGUACCAGCCUACAGCAGAAUGCUAAAAAACUAGUCUCCCAAUAUUUUAAAUCAGUCCACGUCAUCGUAUUGGGCGCAUUUUAGAAUUUGUUUUGUUCCUUUAAAAAGGAUCACGCUGCCGGCUGGAAACCUCCUGUCGCCGCUGUUGAUUUCCUCACGCCAUCGAGAAAAUUUGGUCCUCUCGCACCAUCUUCAGUAGAAUUCGUUUUUUUGCUUUAAAAAAGGAUCAGAUUCAGUAGCACUGUCAAUAACCUUCCAAAGACACAUAACAAUGUCACAAAGAGCGCCAACGCUGUCACUUGUCCUUUUUGACUGCAGGAUAGCUCCAUUAUUUUCUUGUUCUGAGUUAAGGAAAGCUAGCAGGUUCUUGUACUCGAGAAGAUUAUCCUACAAAACAGCAAGAUUUGACAAGAAAUUAUUUGUGCAGUAGUACAGAAGCAAAGUAACAGUUUGGAGUUGACGAAAGGUACCUUCUGCAAAUUUGUGCCACCGCCCGGUCCAUUGAGGCUAUGCAAUUGGCCAUCAGAUGAGCCAAGGAUAAGAUUUCAAUCAUAAUUCAUAGGUGCCACCUGAUGACGUAUUGAUUCAGUUAAUUCAAUUUGUAGAUGUCAGAAGCCACGCUCUAAUUGCCAAUUAGCAAUUAUAAACUUUCCACAAUCCAACAUCAAUUAGGAAAAACAAGUUUGCGAGUCUAACCGAGAGCCUUUAACAGACCUGAGCUGCUGUUGAAGUAGGCGACGAGGAGAAUGACACCCUGCAGACAUGAACAGCUAAACUGUCAGCGUCAAAGGAGGGAAUACUAGGACGACGAGGGCAAUGGUGAGCACGGGCGGCGAGCGCGACUUGGGGUGGAGCAGGCCGUCGACAGAGAGCAGGCUCCCAUUUUCCACCUGCCGGCUCGGGUUCACCGACCUCCUAGACAUCCUCCUGCCCUCCCUCCCGAAUCCGACCAGCCAUAGAAGCGCGUCAGCCGCAGAUCGGAAUCCCCUGUGGCGCGAGAAGGUGGAGGUACCUCUGUCAAUGGCACCGGUCGCCGGGAGAGGAGAUCUGCGUCCCGGCCUGCCGCCGCAUGGCGCUCACCGGUCGCCGAGAGAGGAUAGCCGGCACCGGGAGAGGAGGCCGCACCGCCUGUCGUCGGGAGAGAGCUGCCACCGGGAGAUAGCGCGCUAAAAAAAAUAGCGCGGGAAGGGGGCGCGGGAACGGAGUUCGGGAGGAUCGGGGGAACACUGUGCGUCGCUAAAAUAUGCGGAAUAUGCGGGGUGGUGGGGUGUUUUUUCACGUCGCUAAUUUUUUAGGGAAAUUUUGGGUGGACUGUUGGAGUUCAUUUUUUCUCUUUUUUUUCCUAAAGAAAGUAUUGGGAAUAAGAUUAGCAGCCUCUUAGAGUUGCUCUAACUAUCAACUAUCUAACUAUCAACUAUCAAGUAGUUUAAUGCUCUUAUCAUGGUCGAGUGUUGUUUCACUGAAAUACUCCAACGGCACCUGGUAGUAACACAACGUAUUUUUGCCAUGAACUUCUUGGAGCCAUGGCAGGGAGCAUUGUUUCGCAUUUGGAGAAUAUUAUCCUUUUGCCCCUUUCAUUUUUAGCGUGUUGCACGGAUUGAUGUUCAUUCAGAUGUAUUGUUGCCAGAGAAAAUAAGCACCUGAGUUCUUGCAUUUCUCUUGGUACUGGCCCUGGCAGGGAGUUGCGCAGCAACCAGUGGGCGAAUGCAAGGUCGCUGGAAAAGCAGGCGAGAUCUCUGGUUCCGUUCUGUACUGAUGCGAACUUGCUACGCAACAGAUUAGUGAAAUGGAUCGGAGUAUCGGAGCCGCUGCACUCCAGUACUCCACUGGAACACGAGAAUUAGUUCGCUUGAUGAAGCGGGCGGGCGGAAACAGAGAAUACGAAGUCAACGAAUUGAAUUUUACGCUCGACCGACACCGUCAUAAAAUAGGAAAUCCAUUUACAGCUAGCAAAGUGUAGUAAAGGCCCAUAAGCUGAUGAGCCCAUGGCCCAUUCAAGCAUAAACAUCCUGGGUCAGUGCUGGCCCAUCUCCUCUCGUUUCCCGCCAGGAGCCCGCACGGAGGCGGCACGCCGGACGGAGCAGCGGCGGCGGGGAGGAUCUCGCGGCCUCCGCCCGGUGUCCAGGCCCCGCCACGAUUCGCUCCCCGCCCGUCUAGUCCUCCGCCGCGCUCGCCAGUUUGCCGCCCAAAACCCCCUACGUCGUUCCCUCGCCGACUCCCCCAUCAGUUUCCCAGAUCCCCCGUCUGUGUGUGUGUGUCAGAUCAAGGUGCCAUUUCAGCUGUGAACAAAUUGCUCUCGUCUAGUUCAUCUGCGGUUGCUCAUCCUCGAGCUGGUAGACACCCAUCCUCAUUUUCAUACGUGGCGAGUGUUAUACUCUGAUCAGGACGUUUUCAUAUGCCUGUUGUAUAUUUGUAUAGAUAUUCGUUCGUUCAAAAAAAAUAUUUGUAGAUAUUAUUUUAACCUGGAAAAACAUUGAUGAAGUUUAUACUAUUUUGUCAGCAAUUUGGCUAGCAUCCAGAGGUAUCUGCUCAUCUAGCUUCAAGUUUGACGAGAUAAUGGCUAUGGUACGCAUCGUUGUUAAAAUUAAGCCAUCUAGAAGUUGGCAUGCCAUCACCUCCAGGAACCAGUUUUAAGAGAAAUGUUUGUGGCAAGCUCAUCAGAUGGCACAUGGUGAUAGGGCCCACGUGUACUCGCUCCACGGUGGUUGCCUUGUCGACUCCACUCCAUUCUUGUGCUGAGCAGAGUAAUUUCCUGCUGUUGUCGCAUUGACUCUCGACCAUUUCAUGGGUCGUGGCUACUCGUCGUAUGCUCCGCCGGACUCCGUCGUGUUCCACGUUCCCAUGCCGGCAGAUGUCCAAAUGGGUGGCCCGGCCCGGCCAACUUCGUGCUGGGCCAACGCCUCCACCAUGCCGGGCCGUGCCAGCCCAUAGGCUGCACCAACAGUCUAGGCCCACGGGCCCAUUUCAUGCCGGGCCAACCUGUAAAGCACGGGCACAAUAUGCGUGCCGUGCCCACAGGGCUGCACCGCGAGCGCUCGCCCCUCCGUGGCUCUACGCCGCGCCGCCGCCUCCAUCGCGAACCCUGCGCAUCGCGGCUUGCCCGCUCGCCGGUGCCUUCCCCUACACGUCGCGGCCUCCUAGCUCGCCGAUGCCGCCCCCUACAAACCACUGCAUCCGAUCUCACUGGUGCCGUCGAGCGGAGUGCGCCGCCGCUGGAGGUGAGGAUGGAAGGAGGACUGGCCGACUGGAAGGUGGAGGUCCAGACUCCAGAGGGAGGAGGGACAGAGGCAUUGGUGCCCCUGCCUGCAACGUGCGGCCUGAGGGAUGGAGGAAGGAAGUGGAUAGGAAGAAUAGGAGAGCGAUGGGCCGUGUGCCAAGGCGACUGGUGAUGAGUUAACGGGCCGCCUCAGACCGGCCUCCUAAAACCGUGCUGGCCCAAGCCGCCCGUCGUGCUAGGGUGGCGGCCCAUGCUUGGCACGUGUUACCGGGCCAGCCAGCACGGACAUGCAGGCCGUCAUGCUGGGCUGGGCUUGGACCGGGGCAAAAAGUGGGUUCUGUGCCGAGCGAGCGGGUCACGGGCUUUCCGGACAUCUAUGGCCCCAGCGGUAACAAAAGCAACAAGGCAACGGCUCGGCAAAUUAUUUAAUCGCGCGUCCUUCCUGUACGUUAUACAAGGACGAUAUGAUGGCCAUCGAGGUCAUGUUUAGUUCACUCCAAAAUCUCAACUUUGGCACUAUAAAAAAGAAGAUUUCCCAUCACAUCAAACUUGCGGUACAUGCAUGGAGUACUGAAUGUAGACGAAAUCAAAAAUUAAUUACACAGUUUUGUUGUACUUUGCGAGAUGAAUCUUUUGAACCUAAUUAGUCAAUAUUUGGACAAUAAUUCACAAAUACAAACGAAACGCUACAGUGUUGCUACAGUAUUUUUGACACCCCAAAGUUGGGCAACUAAGGCCUUGUUUAGUUGCCAAAAUUUGGAGUGCCAAAAUUACUGUGCCAGCACUGUAGCACAUUGUGGCGUUUUGUUUGUAUUUGUGAAUUAUUGUCCAAACAUUAACUAAUUAGGCUCAAAAGAUUAGUCUCGCAAAGUACAACAAAACUGUGCAAUUAGUUUUUCAUUUCGUCUAUAUUUAGUACUCCAUGCAUAUACCGCAAGUUUGAUGUGAUGGGAAAUCUUCUUUUUACAUAGUGUCAAAGUUGGAAGUUGGGGGUGACUAAACAAGUGCCAAAGUUGGAGUUGGGGUGACUAAAAAGGGCUAAACAAAGCCUGAAGCCGGCUGGCACCGUGCUAGCUGUCGCUGCAUUCACUGCAACCACAGAUGCCACGUGCGACCUCACAUGCCACAUGCUAUCGGUGGCUUGGUGCCCGUCCUCCGGCAUUUACUGCACGCGCGCAUCCAACUCGUUGACUUCGCUCCAUCGCUCACCACCAUUUCUUUCGAACGGAACGGUGCCCGCUUGGCUGCUUGGCUUGCCGUCCGCUCCGCUCUGCUUAGCUCGUCGGCCGGCCACCUCUUCUCCGCCGGAUCCAGUGCUCGACGACGGCUGCUUGUGCAUGCCACUUUGAGUUUUUAUUGAUUUUCCCAAUUCCCAUGCUUCGAAUUCUUCUAUAAUGAUGUGUACUAAUGGAAACUAAAGUCACAAUUUUCUGUUGCGCCAUGACAUUUCCUAAUAAAUAGCAGGUGAAUGGUCCAUAUCUAGACAUGCAUGGAGUCGCCUCAGGUAUUGAGGUAUCGUUAAACCAGCAUGCUCAAUAUGUUCUCACACAAAGUUGCAUUGUUUAUGUUUUCCGAUGAUGGGUACUCCAUAUUAUUGUUUAAUGUUCUUUCCGGGAAAAAAAACUAGGGACAUGAACCAUUCUAUAUUUCUGGACUUUGAGAACUAGUACUCUUGGGUUGCCUAUAUGGUUGUUGAAACUUGAAAACCAAAUUGACAGUAGUAGCUCUGAAGGUGUAGAUUUCUAAAUUAAACCUUCAUGCCCUGCCCGAACUCUGAAGCAAAGUUGCAUACUACUCCACUUGAAUCCAUCCAAUGCAUGAUUAAGCGUUGUGUGCUUGGUUUUAUCGGAGUGACAGCCCAAAAUGGUCUGUUCUAUGUCUGAUUAAUUAGCAAAUGCAUCUGGUGUGCAGUGGAUAGUAGUUGUUACGUUGCAUCCCAGUUCCUAACAAGCAUAAAGUUGAUGCAUGAUCAUUUCUCGACAGCACUGAUCUCGUGCAAGUUAUGAAUUUGACUGUAAUUAGAGCCAGUUCCAGGAGCCAUCUGAAUCAUCUAAUCACAAUCACCACAUGCGCACUGGCACUGAAGAACCAAAACUGAUCUGGAAGUUGACAGGGUGUUGUUUCUUCGGGUUCAUCGGUGUUCUGUCUGCUGACCUGAAUAAAGCCUCCAUCAGACUUACAGUUAUUACGCCAGGUCAGCCAUUUUUUUUUUGUCGUUGCUGAUUUAGUCCGCACCAAGAACGUGGAACGCAGCUUCGGAUCCCCUUUCCAAUUCCAUCCUCGUUGCGGCAGCGGGAGGGGAACUGGAGCAGCACAUGCAAGAGUCCAGCAGCAAAAUAAUACGCGAGGACGUUCUGCUAGGCAAAAAGAUUUCUUUCCGGAUCUCUAGCCGGACGUUGAGCAGGGUCUCCUAAUUGAAAGCUUUUUUUGGGGGGGGGCAACUCCUAACUAAAGCUUUUUUUGCUGGGAACUAAUAAUGGAGCGGCUGGCUGUAGUGGCUUCACUUGGAAGCUAUCAGCUCAGUCCUUCCACGCUGCCAUCUCCAUUGUUCUCACUUCUCAGCACUGCACCCUUGGGAACGUAUGCGGUAUGCCUCAACGCACUGCCGCUCUCAUCUAGUCCUCUCGUCGUGUGAGUCUGCAUCCUCCUCGUUCGUCAGCUUGGCCUCUCGUAGGUGCUGAUUGUUGCCUGAUUCCAAACGAUCUUUCAUUACCAGAUUCCAGCCUCCUCUGUUCCGAAGCGACGCCCAUGAGAAUUGAGAUGGGAUGACAAUACUAACCAGGAGGGAUUUGGCAUCGACGGCUCCUUGACCGACGACGUCUUCUCCGCCCCGCCCGGCCCAGUCCUCUGCUGUACAUCCUGUUUUCGAAUCUGGGCGUGUCUUCUCCAACACCUCUGCCGGAUCUUAGUCUUUUGAGGAAGUCUCUACAGAUUUGAGCACACGCUCUGGCUGAGUGCCAGCCCUGGUGUGCAUCCGUUUUGUGGUAGGUACACGUACACCUCUUUCUCUCAUGUUCCUCGAAUGAAUCCUUGUCACGUGUUACUGAUUUGUUCUCUGCGAUUGCAAAUGCCUUUCUCUCUGCCUUCAGAUCCAGAAGGAACCUGUGAACCACUGCGUGACUCGUGAAGAUGGAGUUCGCGUUCAGCGCGGCGCGGUGGGUGGUGGGCAAGGCGCUCGCCCCCGUCGCAGACGGCUUCGUGGAGGCGUGGGCGGCCAGCAAGAAUCUCGGCUCCGAGGUCGAUGGCCUCAUGACGGUGCUGCAGUACGCGCAGGCCAUGCUCAACAACACCCGUGGCAGGGAUAUCGACAACCCGGCCCUCAACGACCUGCUGCUCAAGCUGCGUCUGCUGGCCUACGACGCCGACGACGUGCUUGACGAGCUCGACUACUUCCGCAUCCAGGACGAGCUCGACGGCACCUACCAUGCCGCUAACGAGCACGCCGGGGGAUGCGCCCGUGAGCUCCUCCUCAAUGCUCGUCACACUGGAAGAUACGUUGCCAAUAAAUUCAAGCUCUCCUCAGGCUCGCCUGAUGCUACUCGUGGACGACGAUUUCUAUGUGGUGCCUGGCCGUCCAAGGUACCGCAGAGAAGACAAACAGCACAGAUACCAAAAUUGAAGUUUGAUAGGGUGGAUAUAUCUACAAGGAUGACAGAGAUCGUAAACAAGCUCAAGCCCAUCUGUGCUAUGGUCUCAACCGUUCUUAAUCUAGAGCUGAUAGGCUCCAAAGGUAUCACUACUGCCACCAUGGAACGGCCCACAACCAGUGAGGAAAUUACAGAGCCUAAAUUGUAUGGGAGGGAGACAGAGCUACAGAGUGUUGUAGAUUCCAUUACCCAUGGUGAAUGUUUUGCCAAUGAACUUACUGUGCUUCCAAUUGUUGGCCCGGGCGGUAUUGGGAAGACAACUUUCACACAACAUGUGUACCAAGAAGUGAGGAGCCAUUUCCAAGUUACAAUUUGGAUAUGCGUCUCUCUGGAUUUCAAUGCAGAUAGAUUGGCACAAGAAGCUGUGAAAAAGAUUCCUAAAGUUAAAGAUGAAAAGAAAAGUGGUAGUGAUCAAGAGCUAAUUGAGCAAAGAUUAAAAGGUAAACGGUUUUUGCUUGUCCUGGAUGAUAUAUGGAAAUGUCAUGAGUAUGAGUGGGAAAAACUACUAGCACCAUUUAGAAAAGGUGGAGGAAAAGGUAAUAUGGUUAUAGUCACAACUCGAAUGUCAGAUGUGGCCAAAAUGGUUAAGACAGGUGAUUCUCAAAUGCAAUUGGAUCGUUUAGGAGCUAAAGAUUUUAGGGAUUUCUUUGACGCAUGUGUAUCUACCAAACAUGAGUUAUGGUCAGAUAAUCCUGAGUUAAGUGAAACUGGGGAAGCAAUAAUGGCCAAACUGAAACGUAAUCCUCUUGCUGCAAAAACUGUUGGGAGAUUACUAAGAAAACAGCUCACUUUGGAGCAUUGGAGAAGGGUUCUAGAGAGCAAAGAAUGGGAACUCCAAACCAGUGACAAUGACAUUAUGCCAGCGUUGAAGAUUAGCUAUGAUUAUCUUCCACUUAACCUAAAGCAAUGCUUUUCCUAUUGUGCUUUGUUUCCUGAAGAUUACGAAUUUGACAGCAAAGAGUUAGUUCACUUUUGGAUAGGACUAGAUGUUUUACAUCUGGGUGAUCAGAGCAUAAGAAUAGAAGAUGUUGGCAAGAGUUAUUUGAUUGACUUGGUCAACUAUGGAUUUUUCAAAAGGAACGAAAAAGACAAUGGCCGUCAUUAUUAUGUUAUCCAUGACCUAUUACAUGAGCUGGCCGUGAAAGUUUCACGGCACGAUUGUCUUAGCAUACAAAUAUCUAAAGUGAGGUAUGUACAUAUCCCGGCAUCAGUACGCCACUUGUCUAUCAUUGUGGAUAACAAAGAUGUUGAGGAUAUAAUUACUUAUAAAGACUGUGAGAAGGAUCUUGAUGCACUUGAUAAAAGGCUACAAAUUGAAAACAUACGUACAUUGAUGUUGUUUGGUGAAAAUGUGCAGAGUUUUUCCAAAACAUUUGGUAAUUUGUUUAAGAAAGCUGGAGCCCUUCGCGCUAUUUUUUUGUCUAGAGCAUCAUAUAUUGUGGAGGAUAUGUGGCAGAACUUUUCAAAGCUUGUUCAUCUUCGCUACCUGAGGAUUAAGGGGAGUUACCAUUUUCUGGAAACAGACCUACCAGGAACAAUUUCAAGACUAUAUCACUUGAAGAUCCUAGACAUUGAAGAUUCCAGGGGCUGCCCUAUGCCAUCAAGAUAUUUAAGCAACCUCGUAAGCAUGCAACAUUUUCUUGUCCCUGGUAAUUAUAGCCUUCACUCAGACAUUCUCAAUGUGGGAAACCUGAAACUUCUACGAGAACUAAGAAGAUUUGAAGCUAAGAAAGAAAAUAAAGGUUUUGAGUUAAAGCAACUAGCAGAACUACUAGAGCUUGAAGUACUGCGCAUUUACAAUCUUGAAAAGGUUAAAGUAAAGGAAGAAGCAGUUGCAAUGAAACUAAUACAAAAACACCAUUUACAAGAGCUCGUACUAGAUUGGGAUAUUGAUCGCUUGGAUAAGGAUCCUAUAGGAGAAGAGAAUAUCCUUGAAAGUCUUAUGCCACAUAGCAAUCUCUACAAGCUAUCUAUUAUUGGACAUGGAGGUGACACUUGCCCUUCAUGGCUUGGUAUGAACCUCUCGGUAAAAACUUUGGAAUCUCUUCAGCUGAGUAACGUAUGUUGGAAAACAUUUCCACCUCUAGGAGAGAUGUGGUUUGUCGGUGAACAUUGUAAAAGCUGUAUGCCAGAACAAAGCUUCAAAAAAUUGAAGAGGCUAGAACUGGAAAAUGUACCAAAAUUGAUAAAAUGGGUUGGAAAUGGCCCUUCUGAUUUGUUCUCUCACUUGGAAGUACUCGUCAUCAAAGGCUGCCCAGAACUCAUGGAAUUGCCAUUUUCACAUUGUGCUGGAUAUGAACAAGACGUUGAGGAUAACAUGAUUUGGUUUCCUAAACUAGAAGAGCUCGAAAUUACAGAUUGUCCAAAGCUAUCAUCAUUGCCUUGUGUUCCAUGGUCUAGCUCUACUUGCAGUGCUAAGAUUAUACAAGCUGGUUCGGGUAUUGAGCGACUGUCUUUCAGUGGAGAUUUCUUGGAAAUUAAGGGAAAGGACACAUUGGAUAGUGCUUUUUGGAGGGUGUUAGCCUUUCAUAACCUAUCCAAACUUGAAGAAUUGUGGGUGAGGACAUGCCCUCCUUUGUCACUGGUUCACCUCGAAAAGCUAUCAUCCCUAAAGCGCCUCGUCAUAAAUGAUAUGGGUGAUGCCUUUUGUUCGGCUGAAGGUGAUGGUCAUGCCGGAUAUCAAUUUCCAGUUAAAGGUGUCACGAUUGGGCGAUAUGGUGGUAGUGGGCAGCGACUGACACGACUGCUCUCUUACUUCCCAAACCUCCGCAUGUUCACCAUGUUCGAGUGUGAGAAGUUAACAGGGUUAGGCGUUGUGGGCCUGCAUAAGAGGACGGAAGCACUGCCAAGACCGCCGUCAAUUUCAGUUAACCAGGGCGCAAGAGCAGAGGAGGAAAUAACAUCAGAAGGGGUACUAUUGCUGCCUCACCAAUUACAACAUUUGGGGAUCUGGGACUGCCAAAAUUUGGUCCUCUGCCCAGGUUUACUCGACCACGACGAAGACGAAGGACGAACCGGAGGCCUCCAAGGUCUGAGCUCCCUCACUUCAUUAACUAUAGGGGAAUGCCCCAGGUUGCUCUCCUCCUAUUCGUCGUCCUCCUCUUCUUCUUGUUUCCCUUUCCCAACCUCCCUGGAAUACCUCUGUCUGGCAGGCGAGGUGGGCAUGGAAACGCUGCUCCCUCUCUCGAACCUCACCUCUCUCACAAGGUUAGACAUACGGGAAUGUGGGGAUCUUAAAGGUGAGGGUCUGCAGUCUCUCCUCGCCCAAGGCCGUCUCACCGAAUUAACUGUCCGCGAAACCCCCAAAUUCUUCGCUGGUUCCGAGCCCUCACUGCCGCGUGAACCAGAGCUUCCAUCCUCUUCAUCCAAACUGCAGGAGCUUCGCACGGAUGACGUCGCGGGUGUCCUUGCUGCGCCCAUCUGUGCCUUCCUCUCUUCCUCGCUCACCAAAUUGGAGUUUUGGGAGGACUCAGAGGUGGGGCGCUUCACAAAGGAGCAAGAGGAGGCCCUUCAGCUCCUCACCUCCCUCGAGAGGAUCAGAUUUUGUCAGUGCGACAAGCUGCAGUGCCUCCCUGCAGGGCUGCACAGACUUCCCAACCUCAAGAGAUUAAAAAUCUACGGAUGUGCAGCCAUCCGAUCACUGCCCAAGGAAGGCCUCCCAAGUUCACUGCAAAAGUUGGUGAUACACGAUUGUCCAGGCAUCCGGUCGAUGCCCAAGGAAUGCCUCCCAAAUUCACUGCAAAAACUAGUGAUCAGACGCUGCCCAGGCAUCGGGUCUCUUCCAAAGGUGGAAUACCUUCCAAGUUCGCUGCGAGAAUUGGUUGUCGAUGAUAGGAACAGCGAGGAACUAAGAAGGCAUUGCCGCAAGUUGAUAGGAACCAUUCCAAUAGUCAGAGCCUGAUUUACCCAAGGUAACAAAGAGGUG
This 19545-nucleotide long non-coding RNA is filed under the name Setaria viridis. RNAcentral describes it as "long non-coding RNA (SVIR_LNC008473)". Lineage: Eukaryota; Viridiplantae; Streptophyta; Magnoliopsida; Poales; Poaceae. The record is from RNAcentral.